UUACAGUGUUCUCACUUUUAGUUUUAUAAUUAAAAGUUAAUUAACAUUUUAAUUGUUGUUGCGGUGUGUAUUUGUUACUGAGCGUGUAGUAGUGAUGGGUCGUUUUUGAACGAAUCUUUAAUGUGACUCGGGAAGAACAAGUCGUCUCAGGGAGUGAUUCGUUCAGUCGCGCAUGCGCAACAUCCUAUAGGUUCUGUACUGGAAUUAGUUCACCUGUUUCGAGUCAUCGGGUUUGAGUCGUUCGUUCUUUUGUCACGUGACCACUUGCCGGAUCAGUAAAAUACUAUAAAGUAAAACUGUAUUUUUUUGUAUGUUGGAUCAUAUUUAUCAAAAUAUGUGUAAUAAGCAUUUUCCUAGAAAUAAAAAUGGUCUGUUCAUUUCUGUCACUAUGUUUUUGUUACUCUUUCUUGAGGAUCUGUGUUAUUUUAUAAAUAAAUAAAACCCUGUUAUAAAUAAAAUAUUGAUUGAUUUGUCCUUUCACUCUCUUUGUCUAUCAAUAAACAUAUAAUAUAACUAUAUAAUAAAAAAAUCCAAGCCUAAAAUGACAAAGCACUUAUAGUUUGUACAUUUUUACUCCAAUUUUGACUUUGCUGGUAUAAUUGUUUUUCCUAGGCAGACUUGACAUAUUGGUCUAAUGUUUGUAUAAGAAGAUUGGUCAAAAAGGACACAAUGACAUAAAGUGAAAGCAAAUAACAUUUUGAAUAUGAAUGAUUAAUGUUAGUUUAAAAUAUUAAGGUUAUGAUCUGGCUCUGUGGCUUUAGUAUAUUUUAAUUUUCUUGUAUUUUUUAUUUAAAUUGUUUUAAUUCAUUUUGGAAUAGUUAUCCUCUUUGCUAAAGCUUUUUCUGGCACAAAAAUAAACAAUAAAAAAACAAUUCAAGAGUGUGUACACAGUGUUAAUGUCUAAAGUGUCAUAUGUUACAAAAGUAUAACACUAUAGUCUAAUCUAAAGGGUUAACUCAAAAGACAUAAAUACACCAAGGUAUUGUAUUUUAUGAAGAUUAGACUCCAAAAAAAAAAUAAAAAAAUUAAAUUAAAGCAUAACCAACUCUUUAUUAUCUUUAUUACUACAUUCAGUAUUAUGGAAAAGAACCAUUGUGACAGAGAUUAAAAGCAAUAAUUUGAGACCAGAAAUGCAUCACAUAACUGUACGAGUAAAUAAUAAUAAUGACUAUGCACCCGUUUGUAAGGAAGGUUGUAAAUUAACUAAUUUCUCUGCCCAAAGCGGUCACAUCACGUGACAAAAGAACGAACGACUCAAACCCGAUGACUCGAAACAGGUGAACUAAUCAAUUCUCUUUCCGGCUCUGACUGCAUAGGUUAGUGUAUGAGGCUGUCACGUGAUGAACGAACGACUCAAACCCGAUGACUCGGUAGGUGAACUAAUCAAUUCUCUUUCCGGCUCUGACUGCAUUGGUUUAGCUUAUGGGGCUGUCACGUGAUGAACGAACGACUCAAACCCGAUGACUCGGGAGGUGAACGAAUCAAUUCUCUUUCCGGCUUUGACUGCAUUGGUUAGUGUACGAGGCUGUCACGUGAUGAAUGAACGACUCAAACCCGAAUGCUUGUCAGAUAAGAGAGAUUAAGAUGACUAGGUGAAGAUCUGACAUCGCAGAAUUCUUCAAGGAUAACGCCUUUUCUGCCAAACGAGGUCUAAUUGCUGCUGGUGCUGUACUGUGCACCCCCUGCAUUCUUAUCAUGGAUUGCUGUCAUUCAAGAAGUUAUAAUUUCCUCCCAUUGUGGCUGAGCUACACAUUCCCUUUGUUUUAUUUUAAACACAAAACAUCCAGAGGAGAUGGCACCUACGCUGGAAUCCAUACAAAUUCUUCCUGCGAAGAAAUCCUGAACGAGGGUCAAAGGUUGAGGUGAUGGGAACCUACGCUUCCAAGACUUUGAGAAUCCAGGUACAAUUUGAGCUUUUUUCAAAUCUCAACAUGGAACUUGGACUGAACAUGCAGAAAAAAAAAAAAAAGUAGUUUUUAUACUAAAAGCACACAAGUUUAGUAUAGUUGUAUAGUAUAGUUUCACAUUGAAAUGUGAGGCAUGAGUGCAUGAAUCUUUGUUUUUUUUAUUUUCAAAUGCUGUAAAAGAAAGUAUUUUUUGCAGUACCAUGUCAAUUGUAGAUGCAGAUAAUUUAGCAUGAAUUAGAGGUUAGUAAUCUAACUUAAAGGGUUAGUUCACCCAAAAUGUUAUAUGAAAAAUCUUGUUCCAAUCCUGUUAGACUUUUGUUCAUUUUUGGAACACUAAUGAAGAUCCUUUUUAAUGAAAUCUGACAGCUAUACCUUAUUGGACCUUGAAAUGGUAGUUGUAUAUGGUAGUUGUCAGUGGAGGGACAGAAAGCACAGAGAUUUAAUUAAAAAUGUUUGUGUUCCAAAGAUGAAUGAAAAUCUUAUGGAUUUGGAACGGUAUGAGGGUGAGUAACUGAUGACAGAAUUCACAUUUUUGGGUGAACUGUCCUUUUAAAUAAUAUUGUGUUCUCCUAUAGGUUAAACGGUGUAAACACUGGAACAUUUCACUUGACUAUUGACUGUAAGUCUAUAGCAAUUGUUAUUAAUGACAGCCCUGUCUUUUGUAUAAAUUUUUUUUCCCCAUGUAUUUGAAAAUAUUUUGAAUCUUGACUGUUUCACAAUGAAGUUUAUCUUUUAUAUUUUACAAGUCAAGUACCUGCUCAUGUUUUCUUUUUUCUGCAUGUUGCUGUUUAAAACUAAAAUGUGUUCCAGAAUACAAGCAUUUUCAGUGGUGCUUUACACAUUGUUAAAUUAAUUGAUGUAAUAAUAUUUGUCUUCACCUGUUUAAGGCAAAUAAAAUCUACUGAACACACUUUUAAGAAUGUUUACAUGAGGUAAAAAUAA
Molecule: long non-coding RNA, 2849 nt
Organism: Onychostoma macrolepis
Lineage: Eukaryota; Metazoa; Chordata; Actinopteri; Cypriniformes; Cyprinidae
Exons: 5
Source: RefSeq, a predicted model, not a curated record